GUGCCAGCCGCCGCGGUAAUACCGGCAGCCCGAGUGAUGGCCGAUCUUAUUGGGCCUAAAGCGUUCGUAGCUGGCUGCGCAAGUCCGUCGGGAAAUCCACCCGCCCAACGGGUGGGCGUCCGGUAGAAACUGGCCGGCUUGGAACCGGAAGGCUCAGAGAGUACGUCCGGGGUAGGAGUGAAAUCCCGUAAUCCUGGACGGACCACCGAUGGCGAAAGCACCUUGGAAGGACGGAUCCGACAGUGAGGGACGAAAGCUAGGGUCUCGAACCGGAUUAGAAACCCGUGUAGUCC
RNAcentral lists this ribosomal RNA (293 nucleotides) under uncultured bacterium. RNAcentral's name for it is "partial 16S ribosomal RNA". It matches the Rfam family "Archaeal small subunit ribosomal RNA", at positions 455 to 747 of the family's 1478-position model. The record is from RNAcentral.